UUCCUUUUCAAAUGCCAUCAUAAUCGUACGAUUCGUGCUUACGUAACCUUUGGAGAAAGAGACAGAGGGAUUCUUGAAAAAAGAUAUCAAUGAAGAAAAAGAAAGAAAAAUCCUUUUAACUCGCUUCGUGUCUCUCUCUUGCCAAAUAAAAUACGUUCAAGGUCAGAAGAAGAGAGGUCAGGGUCACAGAUAGAGUUAUGUCUGAAUUGAACAUCAUUUUGUACGGAGCGACGAGGAGCACUUAACUUAUCCGUCCGAAUGUCUGUGAUCGUGUGUGCGUGUCAUAGGUCCCAUUAUCGUGGCCACUUGAUGCCGUAGAAUGACGAUACUAACCAGAUGUAUAUACAUAUACCGUAUGUAUGUACUUUGUACAUAUCUCUCUCUCUCUCUCUCUCUCUCUCUCUAUCCUUUUCUCUCUGACCUACAAUUUUGGGCUCGAUUGAACCGAACUUUUUUCUUUUACAUUUACUCUAUAAAAAUUUCGUCUUCUAAUUGAAAGAAAAAAAUAAAUGAGAACGUGUAACACGUGACGUACAAACGAAAGAUCGUCAAAAUCAUUUUCUUUAUACGCUUUUUUCUAAACCGGUUGAAUACCAUUUCAAAUGACAAUCUGAUCAAUGAUUAUGCAUCGAUUAUGCGCUCGAUCGAUGGAUCGUUAGAUCACGUAGAAGAGAUUUAAUUGCUUCAUCCUCUUCCUUUCAUUUCUCUUUCUCUUUCGUUCGUGAUUAGCUAAUCUUCAAGGAAUAUUCACGUUCCAUUUGCCGAGGUUUCAUCGAGGAGGAGGAGAAGGAAGAAGACGGAGAUGAGCUGGAUAAAAGUUCGAACGAAGGGAGUGCGUAAAGUUUGAUUUUAUUGUCCAUUCGGUAGGUGGGAAAGACGCGUGUAAGGACGAUAAGCAUCGAAACGAGAGAGUGCAUACCAAACCUCUCUCUCUCACUCUCUCUCUCUCUCUCUCUCUCUCUUUAUCUUCUAUAUAACUCGAAACAAUCUUACAGAUUUUCUCAUCGAGAAAGAGAAAGAAAGAGAGAGGAAGCAAUCCCCUUCGACGACACCGUUUUUCGAAUCGAAUCGACGUUCCUCGAUCGCUCGGCAGAAAGCUUACUUUGCAUUUUACUUUUCUCUCUCUCUCUGUCUCUCUCUCUUGCUUCUGUGAUUUGUACUCCUGAUCGUAGAUAGAAACGAAUGCGUCUCGAGUUUCCUAUCUAUAACAAGACUCUCCAUUAGAAUCGCUCGUACCGAAUUAUCUUACGAUAGGGUUCGAUAAUAUAUUAGGAAAUAAAUGCGCUUCGGCUUUGCCAUUCGCGCUAUUUCUAACAAUUACAUUCAUUUCUCGGUGAGUAUUUAAAUUGGGUAAGAAUUAAAUCGUUCGAUCCAAUUGAGAAAAAAAAAAAGAAAAAGAAAAAAAAGUAAAAGUCUACGAUGUUAUCGCUUCCUUUCAUUUUUUUUCUUCUUCCUUCUAUUUUUUUAAGCUACGAUCCGGAUAAAAUAAAAAAAGGAAGAGAAAGAGAAAGAGAUAAGUUGAGGUUGGCGCCAACGAAAGAAAUGUUAGAUUCUAAGUGGUAUUUUACCUUAUGUAUAUAGAUACCGUAUGUUGAGGGAAGUCGAUCGGAACGUCGAUAAAAUUAAGAAUGCACGUGGUUCUGGUUUUUAAUGAAUGAACGUCUAGUCGAAGAGAGGAAGGAUGAAGCGUAAAGAGAACGUACAUAUAUAUAUAUACAUAUGUAUAUGUAUAUACACAGAGAGAAAUAAAUAGAUAGAGAUAGAUAGAAAGAGAGAAAGAAAAAGGGAGAUGGGUGAAAGAGAAAAGGAACAAGUAGAAGAGUAAAACAGAGUGGGGAUGAAUAAGAGAAGAGAAGAGAAGGACGAUGAGUAGGAACGCGUUAACAUGCUCGCGUAAUACGAGGCCGGAACGGAUAGUCUCGUCGGCUCGGCUCGGCGCAUCCGCGGAGAUCUACAUAAUGUUUAUUAUGCUAACCUAGGCCAACGCGCUUGCAUCAACAAGUGUUAUAUUAUCAUUCAAAUAAAAUGUUUUAAUCUGCAUACGUUUUAUCAAAGGGUCCCGCGGGUAGCCGAACGCUGACUUUGUCUGCUUGUGUGCUUGUGCAUGUGCUGCAUAUGUGUGUAUUAGCGCAGAAACUGGGCACGUGCCGUGUGAACGAAUAAAAACAAGAAAAGGCAAAAAAAAAAGAGAACAGGAAAAAACAAAAAGAAAAUAAAGAGUCGGUCGACACCAUUUUUCGAUCCUCGCUGUCACGCCAUUACUAUAAUUCAUCAGGGUAUCGUCGUGUCUAAGCUCGACGAUUUGUCAGACCGGACGUCGAGAGACACGGGAGUAGCAGUGCUGCGGGCAGAGCGUGAAGAAAAAAAAAGGAGAGAAAGAAAAAAAAGAGGAAGAGGAUGAAGAAGAAGAAGAAGAAUAAAGGGCCGCUUCAUUAAGGGAGGAGAAGGGUGUGAACGGUGUUAAAGGAGCGACGACAGCGGCGGAAUAGAUGAUAAUGAUGGCGUCGGCGUCGGCAUCGGCGUCAGCGUCGGCGGCAACGGCAACGGCAACAGCAGCUUUUGAUGACAAUGACGACGAAGAAGAGAUGCAGGCGACGGUGUCAACGUGGACGACGGCGACGGCAGCGACGGCGACGACGGCGGCGGCAGCGGCGGCGGCAGCGGCGGCGGCGACGACGUCGACGACGUCGACGAUGACGAUGAAGCCAAACGGCUUUCAUGUUUUCACUUAACUUACUAGCUCUUUUUAUCUAAUACAUUAUUUACAGUCCAUA
This is a long non-coding RNA of Vespa crabro (European hornet), 2774 nucleotides long. RefSeq lists it as uncharacterized. The transcript has 3 exons. The record is from RefSeq and is a predicted model, not a curated record. NCBI's taxonomy places the organism in Eukaryota, Metazoa, Arthropoda, Insecta, Hymenoptera, Vespidae.